GAUGAACGCUAGCUACAGGCUUAACACAUGCAAGUCGAGGGGUAGCAGGGUAGCAAUACCGCUGACGACCGGCGCACGGGUGAGUAACACGUAUCCAACCUUCCCAUAACUCAGGGAUAGCCUUUCGAAAGAAAGAUUAAUACCUGAUAGUACUUAAGAAAGGCAUCUUUUUUAAGUUAGAGACUUAUUGGUUAUGGAUGGGGAUGCGUUCCGUUAGAUAGUUGGUGAGGUAACGGCUCACCAAGUCUUCGAUGGAUAGGGGUUCUGAGAGGAAGGUCCCCCACAUUGGUACUGAGACACGGACCAAACUCCUACGGGAGGCAGCAGUGAGGAAUAUUGGUCAAUGGGCGAGAGCCUGAACCAGCCAAGUAGCGUGAAGGAUGAAGGUCCUAUGGAUUGUAAACUUCUUUUAUAGUAGAAUAAAGUGAGCCACGUGUGGUUUUUUGUAUGUAUACUAUGAAUAAGGAUCGGCUAACUCCGUGCCAGCCGCCGCUGUAA
RNAcentral lists this ribosomal RNA (498 nucleotides) under uncultured bacterium. RNAcentral describes it as "partial 16S ribosomal RNA". It matches the Rfam family "Bacterial small subunit ribosomal RNA", at positions 28 to 523 of the family's 1533-position model. The record is from RNAcentral.